This 717-nucleotide ribosomal RNA is filed under the name Salmonella enterica. RNAcentral describes it as "partial 23S ribosomal RNA". It matches the Rfam family "Bacterial large subunit ribosomal RNA", at positions 1213 to 1912 of the family's 2925-position model. The record is from RNAcentral. RNAcentral also lists the same sequence under 2 other names. Lineage: Bacteria; Pseudomonadati; Pseudomonadota; Gammaproteobacteria; Enterobacterales; Enterobacteriaceae.
CUCAGGCGUUGUUGGGUAGGGGAGCGUUCUGUAAGCCUGUGAAGGUGGCCUGUGAGGGUUGCUGGAGGUAUCAGAAGUGCGAAUGCUGACAUAAGUAACGAUAAAGCGGGUGAAAAGCCCGCUCGCCGGAAGACCAAGGGUUCCUGUCCAACGUUAAUCGGGGCAGGGUGAGUCGACCCCUAAGGCGAGGCCGAAAGGCGUAGUCGAUGGGAAACGGGUUAAUAUUCCCGUACUUGGUGUUACUGCGAAGGGGGGACGGAGAAGGCUAUGUUGGCCGGGCGACGGUUGUCCCGGUUUAAGCGUGUAGGUGUGUGUUCCAGGUAAAUCCGGUUCACUUUAACACUGAGGCGUGACGACGAGGCACUACGGUGCUGAAGCAACAAAUGCCCUGCUUCCAGGAAAAGCCUCUAAGCAUCAGGUAACAUCAAAUCGUACCCCAAACCGACACAGGUGGUCAGGUAGAGAAUACCAAGGCGCUUGAGAGAACUCGGGUGAAGGAACUAGGCAAAAUGGUGCCGUAACUUCGGGAGAAGGCACGCUGACACGUAGGUGAAGUGAUUUACUCAUGGAGCUGAAGUCAGUCGAAGAUACCAGCUGGCUGCAACUGUUUAUUAAAAACACAGCACUGUGCAAACACGAAAGUGGACGUAUACGGUGUGACGCCUGCCCGGUGCCGGAAGGUUAAUUGAUGGGGUCAGCGCAAGCGAAGCUCCUGAU